CCUUAGCCCCGAUAGCAGUGAAAAUCCUUUUUUGGGCCGAUUUUUAUUCGGCUCAAAAAAGAUUGCAACGGAUUGCUUCGCCAGUU
Molecule: small RNA, 86 nt
Filed under: Flavobacterium sp. 103
Lineage: Bacteria; Pseudomonadati; Bacteroidota; Flavobacteriia; Flavobacteriales; Flavobacteriaceae
Description: Flavo-1 RNA
Rfam family: Flavo-1 RNA
Source: RNAcentral